AGUGAACGCUGGCGGUAGGCCUAACACAUGCAAGUCGAACGGCAGCACAGUACUAGCUUGCUCUUACGGGUGGCGAGUGGCGGACGGGUGCGGGAAACAUCGGUAUCUGCUUUUUCGUGGGGGCGAACACAGGGGCACUUACGCUAAUACCGCAUACGACCUACGGGUGAAAGCAUGGGAUCUUCGGACCUUGCGCGAGUGAAUGAGCCGAUGUCGGAUUAGCUAGUUGGCGGGGUAAAGGCCCACCAAGGCGACGAUCCGUAGCUGGUCUGAGAGGAUGAUCAGCCACACUGGAACUGAGACACGGUCCAGACUCCUACGGGAGGCAGCAGUGGGGAAUAUUGGACAAUGGGCGAAAGCCUGAUCCAGCCAUACCGCGUGGGUGAAGAAGGCCUUCGGGUUGUAAAGCCCUUUUGUUGGGAAAGAAAAGCAGCAGGUUAAUACCCCGCUGUUCUGACGGUACCCAAAGAAUAAGCACCGGCUAACUUCGUG
Molecule: ribosomal RNA, 492 nt
Filed under: uncultured bacterium
Lineage: Bacteria
Description: partial 16S ribosomal RNA
Rfam family: Bacterial small subunit ribosomal RNA
Source: RNAcentral